Molecule: ribosomal RNA, 484 nt
Filed under: uncultured bacterium
Lineage: Bacteria
Description: bacterial SSU rRNA
Rfam family: Bacterial small subunit ribosomal RNA
Source: RNAcentral
AGAGUUUGAUCCUGGCUCAGGACGAACGCUGGCGGCGUGCUUAACACAUGCAAGUCGAACGGAAAGGCCCUUUCGGGGGUACUCGAGUGGCGAACGGGUGAGUAACACGUGGGUGAUCUGCCCUGCACUUCGGGAUAAGCUUGGGAAACUGGGUCUAAUACCGGAUAGGACUACGGCCUGCAUGGGUUGUGGUGGAAAGCUUUUGCGGUGUGGGAUGGGCCCGCGGCCUAUCAGCUUGUUGGUGGGGUGAUGGCCUACCAAGGCGACGACGGGUAGCCGGCCUGAGAGGGUGUCCGGCCACACUGGGACUGAGAUACGGCCCAGACUCCUACGGGAGGCAGCAGUGGGGAAUAUUGCACAAUGGGCGCAAGCCUGAUGCAGCGACGCCGCGUGGGGGAUGACGGCCUUCGGGUUGUAAACCUCUUUCACCAUCGGCGAAGCCGGGAGCUUUUGUUUUCGGUGACGGUAGGUGGAGAAGAAGCAC